Molecule: ribosomal RNA, 593 nt
Filed under: Bacillus cereus
Lineage: Bacteria; Bacillati; Bacillota; Bacilli; Caryophanales; Bacillaceae
Description: bacterial SSU rRNA
Rfam family: Bacterial small subunit ribosomal RNA
Source: RNAcentral
AGCGCGCGCAGGUGGUUUCUUAAGUCUGAUGUGAAAGCCCACGCCUUAACCGUGGAGGGUCAUUGGAAACUGGGAGACUUGAGUCCCUAAAAGGAAAGUGGAAUUCCAUGUGUAGCGGUGAAAUGCGUAGAGAUAUGGAGGAACACCAGUGGCGAAGGCGACCUUCUGGUCUGUAACUGACACUGAGGCGCGAAAGCGUGGGGAGCAAACAGGAUUAGAUACCCUGGUAGUCCACGCCGUAAACGAUGAGUGCUAAGUGUUAGAGGGUUUCCGCCCUUUAGUGCUGAAGUUAACGCAUUAAGCACUCCGCCUGGGGAGUACGGCCGCAAGGCUGAAACUCAAAGGAAUUGACGGGGGCCCGCACAAGCGGUGGAGCAUGUGGUUUAAUUCGAAUCAACGCGAAGAACCUUACCAGGUCUUGACAUCCUGUGAGAACCCUAGAGAUAGGGCUUCUCCUUCGGGAGCAGAGUGACAGGUGGUGCAUGGUUGUCGUCAGCUCGUGUCGUGAGAUGUUGGGUUAAGUCCCGCAACGAGCGCAACCCUUGAUCUUAGUUGCCAUCAUUUAGUUGGGCACUCUAACGUGACUGCCGGUG